UGUUACAUGGUAGGGUAUUUAUUCAGUACAUUUUUUCUUUUUCAAGUAAAGUAUAAGGGAGUUGUACUCCAGGCUAGUAGGUGGCGGUUAAGCAACAAAUUGGAUGCCAACCGCCGUUAAACCUCAGAAGAAGAAGAUUGUCGGACCAUCAACGGAAAAGGAAGAACGUCAUUAUACGGAAGAGGAAGGAAAGUGUGUUUGAAACUAAAAUCGCUAGUAACAACCAGCAUCAAACGUAACAUUGCUUGUCAAAUGGAUAUCAUUUCUCGUUAUGGUUUGUAGUUAUGCUGGCUUUGCUUCUGCUGUCUUUCUACAACAUCCGAAGGUGGGUUGUUCACACCAUCGCUUAGCUAGCUUCAGAAAGCUCAGCUACCUAGCUAGCUAAGUUAGCUAGUAAACACAAUGUAAGCUGGCUAGCAAAGAUACAUCCUGAAGUGAUAUAACGUUGUUAGCAAUACGAUGUGAAGUUAUAUGGUGUUAUUCUCAACUUGCUAUCAUCUUAGAUCAUCCAGAUGCAGGUUUACGUAGCUAACGUUAACCAGUUAACUGGGUCAGCAUGUCAUUACGUUAACUAGUUAACUGGGUCAGCAUGUCAUUACGUUAACAAGUAAUGUUGACAUUAUGGUCAACUGUGGCUCCCGAGUGGUGUAGCGGUCCGGGUUUGGCCCGUGUAGGCCGUUCAUUGUAAAUAAGAAUUAGUUCUUAACUGACUUGUCUAGUUAAACAAAGGUCACAAAAAAUGACAAUUUCCAGUGACACAGUAGCCAGCUAGCUCUGCAGACCCUGUUCUACUUCAGUAGCCAGCUAGCUCUGCAGACCCUGUUCUACUUCAGUAGUCAGCUAGCUCUGCAGACCCUGUUCUACUUCAGUAGCCAGCUAGCUCUGCAGACCCUGUUCUACUUCAGUAGCCAGCUAGCUCUGCACACCCUGUUCUACUUCAGUAGCCAGCUAGCUCUGCAGACCCUGUUCUACUUCAGUAGCCAGCUGGCUCUGCACACCCUGUUCUACUUCAGUAGCCAGCUAGCUCUGCAGACCCUGUUCUACUUAAGUAGCCAGCUAGCUCUGCAGACCCUGUUCUACUUCAGUAGCCAGCUAGCUCUGCAGACCCUGUUCUACUUCAGUAGCCAGCUAGCUCUGCAGACCCUGUCCUACUUCAGUAGCCAGCUAGCUCUGCAGACCCUGUUCUACUUCAGUAGCCAGCUAGCUCUGCAGACCCUGUUCUACUUCAGUAGCCAGCUAGCUCUGCCGACCCUGUUCUACUUCAGUAGCGAGUAUCAAGUGUAUGAGUGUGUCCUCAUUGCACGUCUGUUAUUUUAUGUCGCACCUCAAAUGAUGAGCUGGUGGACUGAGACCAGAUGGGGGGGUGUAAUAGGUGGUGACAUGACAGUGUGUUAUCAGAGGACUGAGACCAGAUGGGGGGUGUAAUAGGUGGUGACAUGACAGUGUGUUAUCAGAGGACUGAGACCAGAUGGGGGGUGUAAUAGGUGGUGCCAUGAAAGGGUGUUAUCAGAGGACUGAGACCAGAUGGGGGGUGAAAUAGGUGGUGACAUGACAGUGUGUUAUCAGAGGACUGAGACCAGAUGGGGGGUGAAAUAGGUGGUGACAUGACAGUGUGUUAUCAGAGGACUGAGACCAGAUGGGGGGUGUAAUAGGUGGUGACAUGACAGUGUGUUAUCAGAGGACUGAGACCAGAUGGGGGGGUGUAAUAGGUGGUGACAUGAGGGUGGGUAUAAUUUGUGUAACGUUACAACAAAAAAAAAAAACUUCGUAAAUAUCAAGGUUGCCAACAAACAACACAAACAAAGUCGUAUAACGGUAGAAUGAGAUACCGGGUAGAGAGUGAACAAUGUAAUAACGUUUUUCAACCACCACGUUUAUUCUGAAAAAUGUCUCUCUUCGUUCUGGUAGCCUCCACCAUUCCUCGUUCGUUGGUUUAGUUAUUAUUUCCGGGGUUCCUGCAUUCGUAAGGUGAACUCUGUUGCGCCUCAAUUAGGGAAUCGCUAUGGUUGAAAUGUAACUAAUCACUGCCAGCCCCAGUAUUUUAUUAGCUAGGUGGCUUGGACACAAUUGUUACCGAUGAUACUGUAUACACCAGCCUACUAUUAUUACAUAAACAUACAUUGUAUUUUACCAAGUUCUCUCUGUGUUAAUCCUGUUUCCCAAAUAUAUCAGCUAACUUGUGUCGAUGUUGUUUAGUUCAACUUGCCUAGUUAAAUAAAGAUUAAAUAAAUUAGAACAUAUAAAAUAUAUGCUUUGACCUAUUCCAGGUAACCUAAAGAUGCUUGAUUCACUACAGCUGCUUUUGAAGAACUUUCCAGUCGUAUUUGCUUUACAUUCCGACUUUACAUUCCGACUUUUGAACGUGUGUUUAUUGGACAUAUAUAUUAGUGUCUAAUAAAACAGAGCAUCCCAUCUGUUUUAAGGUUAUAGUUUGUGUGAUGUAGUUCCUCUUGAUGUCCACUAGGUGUCAGCACAGUUUCAAUAAUGUCACACCAGGUUACUACAUGUUUUCAUGUUGUGAAUGCUACAUGUGUAGACCUUACAGUGAAAUGUUGACUUACAAGCCCUUAACCAACAAUUUAGUUUUAAGAAAAAUAUGUGUUAAGUAAAAAAUAAGAAAUAAAAGUAACAAAUAAUUAAAGAGCAGCAGUAAAAUCAAAAUAGCGAGGCUCGAUACAUGGGGUACCGGUUAGUCGAGGUAAUUGAGGUGUUCCUUUCAAGUCCAGUGGUGUAAAUUACUUAACAAAAAUGUAUUUAAACUACUCCACUACAUUCCGUUUAUAUAUCUGGUUAUUUUGUAUCUGUACUUUUACUCUCCCUACUGCCUCUGAUCUGGAGGACUCACUAAACAGAGAACAUCCCUGGUCAUCCCUACUGCCUCUGAUCUGGAGGACUCACUAAACAGAGAACAUCCCUGGUCAUCCCUACUGCCUCUGAUCUGGAGGACUCACUAAACAGAGAACAUCCCUGGUCAUCCCUACUGCCUCUGAUCUGGAGGACUCACUAAAC
Molecule: long non-coding RNA, 3009 nt
Filed under: Salmo salar (Atlantic salmon)
Lineage: Eukaryota; Metazoa; Chordata; Actinopteri; Salmoniformes; Salmonidae
Description: lncRNA (ENSSSAG00000102223.1)
Source: RNAcentral